Molecule: long non-coding RNA, 410 nt
Filed under: Androctonus crassicauda
Lineage: Eukaryota; Metazoa; Arthropoda; Arachnida; Scorpiones; Buthidae
Source: RNAcentral
AUAGGCCCUACUGAAUUAUUAGUGUUGUAUUAAUAAAGAUGUCGGUAGUUUGAUAUUUAAAAACAUGGUAUAUUAUUAUAUAUAUAUUCAGUAGAUAAUGUGUUAAGAUGAACAAUCUUUCAAUUAUGAACCAUAGCUGCUUCAUUUUUUUGUCAGUACUUCAAUAUUCUCUUCUGAGUUUUGUCAUACUUAGAAUUAUUUCAUUCAUUAGUAACUAUCUUAUUACAUUAUACUAUACUUUACUUUAUAUCGGGUGGCUAAGCUUUUCAACAGACCAGCCAGCCAAAUUUCAGAAAUAUUAUUUCCUGCUGGCCCGUGCACCUAAUUUUUUUUUUUGUUAAAGCAAACAAGCAAGCCUGCUACAGCUUCGACCACAUCGUCGCUUCACAGCAGGUGAGAUUGUGGUCAAA